UGGUCUAUUUAAAAGGAAGUAAAAGUCGUAACAAGGUUUCCGUAGGUGAACCAUGCGGAAGGAUCAUUAUUGAAUACGUUGGGUUCUGAUGCUGGCUCUUCCACAGGGCAUGUGCUCGUCCCCAUCUAUUUAUCUUCUYUUUGGUGCCACCUUUUUGUAGUCUUUUUGAAUGAAUAGCAGUUAUUGGAGSGUGAAGGCGCGCAAGCGCACUUGCMCCUUGUCUGUCUUUGCUUUCUUCAGAGGGGACUACGUUUUCAUAUACACUAUAAAGUUACAGAAUUGUCUUUUAAAGAUUGUGCUUGUCGCCGUCCAUUAAAACCUAUACAACUUUCAGCAACGGAUUCUCUUGGCUCUCCCCAUCGAUGAAGAACGCAGCGAAAUGCGAUAAGUAAUGUGAAUUGCAGAAUUCAGUGAAUCAAUCGAAUCUUUGAAACGCACCUUGCCCCCUUUUGGUAUUCCGAAUGGVCAUGCCUUGUUUGAGGUGUCAUUAAAAUUAUCAACCUUGCUUUGCUUUUACUAAGCAUUGCUUGGCUUGGAUGUGGGGGGUUUUUUCGCUGGCUUCCUUCAGUGGAUGGUCUGCUCCCCUUAAAUGCAUUAGUGGGAUUCUCUUGUGGACCGUCACUUGGUGGGAUAAUUAUCUAUGCCAUGCGACUUUGGAAGCAAACUUUAUGGGAACCUGCUUAUAACCGUCCCUCACAAGGACAACUUAUUGACAUUUUGACCUCAAAUCACGUAGGACUACCCGCUGAACUUAAGCAUAUCAAUAAGCGGAGGAAAAGAAACUAACAAGGAUUCCCCUAGUAACUGCGAGUGAAGCGGGAAAAGCUCAAAUUUAAAAUCUGGCGGUUCUUGUAGCCGUCCGAGUUGUAAUUUAGAGAAGUGUUAUCCGCGCUGGACCGUGUACAAGUCUCCUGA
RNAcentral lists this ribosomal RNA (915 nucleotides) under uncultured fungus. Its description in RNAcentral is "eukaryotic LSU rRNA". The stretch from base 719 to 915 matches the Rfam family "Eukaryotic large subunit ribosomal RNA", at positions 1 to 193 of the family's 3401-position model. Lineage: Eukaryota; Fungi. The record is from RNAcentral.